This is a long non-coding RNA of Harmonia axyridis, 311 nucleotides long. RefSeq lists it as uncharacterized. NCBI's taxonomy places the organism in Eukaryota, Metazoa, Arthropoda, Insecta, Coleoptera, Coccinellidae. The record is from RefSeq and is a predicted model, not a curated record. The transcript has 2 exons.
CUUAUAAACGUCAAAUGCUUGUCAACGCCGUACAGAACUAUUAUUUUAUUUUCCAUGAUAUUCGACUGAAAAUAAGAAUAAAAAAUUUCCAAUUCAAUAAUUCUGAAUGGGCGUGAGUAAGCAAUACUUUUCAAUUCGACGAAUAAAGUGAAUAUUUAUCAUUUAUCAUUGUCCAGUGGCUAAAUUUAGAAUUGGUAUGUGAUAUAUUGAAAUAUGGAACAUAUUCUUCAGUUGAAUGAUGAAAUAUUUAUUGCAUUGAGCAUUUGAAUCAAAGGUGAGAGAUAGUCUUACUGUCAAUAAUGAUCAACUUA